UACGAAGGGGGCUAGCGUUGUUCGGAAUCACUGGGCGUAAAGCGCACGCAGGCGGGUCGUUAAGUCAGGGGUGAAAUCCCGAGGCUCAACCUCGGAACUGCCUUUGAUACUGGCGACCUUUGAGUCCGGGAGAGGUGAGUGGAACUCCGAGUGUAGAGGUGAAAUUCGUAGAUAUUCGGAAGAACACCAGUGGCGAAGGCGGCUCACUGGCCCGGUACUGACGCUCAUGUGCGACAGCGUGGGGAGCAAACAGG
This 254-nucleotide ribosomal RNA is filed under the name uncultured bacterium. Its description in RNAcentral is "partial 16S ribosomal RNA". It matches the Rfam family "Bacterial small subunit ribosomal RNA", at positions 524 to 776 of the family's 1533-position model. The record is from RNAcentral.